GUGGGGAAUAUUGGGCAAUGGGGGAAACCCUGACCCAGCGACGCCGCGCGAGGGAAGACGGCCUUCGGGUUGUAAACCUCUUUUGUACGGGAAGAAGGAAGUGACGGUACUGUACGAAUAAGUCCCGGCUAACUACGUGCCAGCAGCCGCGGUAAUACGUAGGGGACGAGCGUUGUCCGGAAUUACUGGGCGUAAAGGGCGCGCAGGCUGUGCUGCAAGUCAGCUGUGAAAUGUCUGGGCUUAACCCGGGCAUGCGGUUGAGACUGCAGUGCUGGAGUGCUGUAGAGGCAAGUGGAAUGCCCAGUGUAGCGGUGAAAUGCGUAGAUAUUGGGAAGAACACCGGUGGCGAAGGCGACUUGCUGGGCAGCAACUGACGCUGAGGCGCGAAAGCCAGGGGAGCAAACGGGAUUAGAAACCCGUGUAGUCC
Molecule: ribosomal RNA, 427 nt
Filed under: uncultured bacterium
Lineage: Bacteria
Description: partial 16S ribosomal RNA
Rfam family: Bacterial small subunit ribosomal RNA
Source: RNAcentral